Molecule: non-coding RNA, 104 nt
Filed under: Tiarina fusus
Lineage: Eukaryota; Ciliophora; Prostomatea; Prorodontida; Colepidae
Source: RNAcentral
AAAGGUCAACGUGGAAACCGAAGAGGAACGACGACGACGACGUGCGCGGGGCUGGAAACCGAGCAAGCCGGAUACGCCGCUGGAUGUGGAGAGUUUGCAAAUUU